RNAcentral lists this ribosomal RNA (464 nucleotides) under uncultured bacterium. Its description in RNAcentral is "partial 16S ribosomal RNA". It matches the Rfam family "Bacterial small subunit ribosomal RNA", at positions 29 to 507 of the family's 1533-position model. The record is from RNAcentral.
ACGAACGCUGGCGGCGUGCUUAACACCUGCAAGUCGAACGGAAAGGCCCUGCUUGCCGGGUACUCGAGUGGCGAACGGGUGAGUAACACGUGGGUGAUCUGCCCUGCACUUCGGGAUAAGCCUGGGAAACUGGGUCUAAUACCGGAUAGGAGCCAUUUUUAGUGUGAUGGUUGGAAAGUUUUUUCGGUGUAGGAUGAGCUCGCGGCCUAUCAGCUUGUUGGUGGGGUAAUGGCCUACCAAGGCGGCGACGGGUAGCCGGCCUGAGAGGGUGGACGGCCACAUUGGGACUGAGAUACGGCCCAGACUCCGACGGGAGGCAGCAGUGGGGAAUAUUGCACAAUGGGCGCAAGCCUGAUGCAGCGACGCCGCGGGGGGGAUGACGGCCUUCGGGUUGUAAACUCCUUUCGCUAGGGACGAAGCUUUUUGUGACGGUACCUAGAGAAGAAGCACCGGCUAACUACGUG